Long non-coding RNA from Diorhabda sublineata, 574 nucleotides. RefSeq lists it as uncharacterized. NCBI's taxonomy places the organism in Eukaryota, Metazoa, Arthropoda, Insecta, Coleoptera, Chrysomelidae. The transcript has 4 exons. The record is from RefSeq and is a predicted model, not a curated record.
GAGUAUAUGAGUUUUUUUAUUCAUGAAGAGUGAUAUCAAGUAUUUUCUGUCAAAUUUAAUGGAAAGAAUUAAUUUUGGCGGUAUCGGUUACAAAAUUUUCUUGAAUAAUGAUUGAAGAAGGGCCAAUAUUGAAUUUAGACGAUUAGGAAAUUGUCUAGUUGGUUCAGCCAGCUAGACUACGAUAGUUUGAUCGUCUUGUAAGAAUGCUAGUUGCAAGAUGGACCGAAAAUGCGCUAGAAAAAGGAAGAAGAUACAGGCAGUUUGCAGAUCGAAAAAUAGAGAAUUUAUUACCAAAAAAAGAAAACACCAAAAGCAUUUUUUUUCAUUUUGAAGCACACGUAAUUAAAGGCAGAAGAUAGGAUCAUCUAUAGAGUAGAGAAGGAGCUGAAAUUUAGUGGAAAUAUUUUAACGGUUUUUCCUGAACUAUGUAGCUCCUUGUGUUUCUUCCCAUGUUAUUUUUAAAAGUUGGAGAAGUCAAAACAGGUGUUUUGAAAUACCAAUCAAGAAUGGAGAAUUUGUUUUCAUAGACAUCGGACAACAGGUUUGUUUUUGUCAUUGAGUAUAUAAGGAGAGC